This 301-nucleotide ribosomal RNA is filed under the name uncultured bacterium. RNAcentral's name for it is "partial 16S ribosomal RNA". It matches the Rfam family "Bacterial small subunit ribosomal RNA", at positions 509 to 807 of the family's 1533-position model. The record is from RNAcentral.
CAGUCGCCGCGGUAAUACGUAGGUGGCAAGCGUUGUCCGGAAUUAUUGGGCGUAAAGGGCUCGCAGGCGGUUUCUUAAGUCUGAUGUGAAAGCCCCCGGCUCAACCGGGGAGGGUCAUUGGAAACUGGGAAACUUGAGUGCAGAAGAGGAGAGUGGAAUUCCACGUGUAGCGGUGAAGUGCGUAGAGAUGUGGAGGAACACCAGUGGCGAAGGCGACUCUCUGGUCUGUAACUGACGCUGAGGAGCGAAAGCGUGGGGAGCGAACAGGAUUAGAUACCCCAGUAGUCCCUGUCUCUUAUAC